UGAGUAGAACAAAAAGGUGAAGCUGGGACAUCAUCUUCUGCCCUUGGACAUCACUGCCUAGUUCUUUAGCCUUCAGACCCAUACUGAAUUACACCACCAGCUUUGCUGGUUCUCCAAAUUGCAGUCAACAGAUCGUGGAACCUCUCAAUAUACAGUAUAAUGAUCUAUAUACUGUCUGAUAUAUAAAGGUUUCAGUUGGUCUAAUGAUCUGGUUAACCUGCAGCAUCGGACUCUCACCAUCUCAGGCCGAGUGAGCGUCGCCUGUUACCUGGGUCGCUGCAGGGGCCUCCUGACUGGCCUUCGACCUCCCCCUUACCCGCUUGGGGCUCCUUCUUCAAACAGCAGCCAAGGCUGUGCUUGAACAUGGACAUGAAAACAUGCCGGUCCUCUGCCCGGCGCCUGGCAGGGCUCUCCGUCUGACUCAGAGCGCAAGUCAGUGUCUGUCCGAUAGCCCCGGAGGCCCGCCGUGGCUGGGUCCCACAUGUGACACUAUUGCUCUGCACGGUGGUCGCUGUUCUGGCCACGCUGCCUUCUCACUGUUCUUUGAACACACCAUGCGCUGUCCAUUCCCUCUGCCUUGACCGCUGUUUCCUAUGUAAAGGCACCAUUGCUUCUCUCAUUUCCCUAGUGUUUGUACUUGAAUGUCACCUUCUCACAGAGACCUCCCCUGCCCACUUUAUUUAUAAGCACAUUCUGUCCCCCGCUCCAGCUCUCCUGGUACUCUUUCCUGUGCCCUGUGAUUUAUUUUUUCCAUUAAAGCUUAUCGCUUUCUAAUGUA
Molecule: long non-coding RNA, 778 nt
Organism: Myotis davidii
Lineage: Eukaryota; Metazoa; Chordata; Mammalia; Chiroptera; Vespertilionidae
Exons: 2
Source: RefSeq, a predicted model, not a curated record